Molecule: long non-coding RNA, 823 nt
Organism: Oncorhynchus tshawytscha (Chinook salmon)
Lineage: Eukaryota; Metazoa; Chordata; Actinopteri; Salmoniformes; Salmonidae
Source: Ensembl
GAGGAGGUAGUGGAGACAGAGGGAGGAGGAGGUAGUUAAGACAGUGGGAGGAGGAGGUAGUGGUGACAGAGGGAGGAGGUAGUGGAGACAGAGGGAGGAGGAAGUAGAGACAGAUGGAGGAGGAGGUAGUGGAGACAGAGGGAGGAGGAUGUAGAGACAUAGGGAGGAGGAUGUAGAGAGAGACAGAGGUAGGAGGAGGUGGUGGAGACAGAGGUAGGAGGAGGUAGUGGAGACAGAGGGAGGAGGAUGUAGUAGAGACAGAGGGAGGAGGAUGUAGUAGAGACAGAGGGAGGAGGAGAUAGUAGAGACAGAGGGAGGAGGUAGUGGAGACAGAAGGAGGAGGAGGUAGUAGAGACAGAGGGAGGAGGAGGUAGUGGAGACAGUGGGAGGAGGAGGUAGUGGAGACAGAGGGAGGAGGUAGUGGAGACAGAGGGAGGAGGAGGUAGUGGAGACAGUGGGAGGAGGAGGUAGUGGUGACAGAGGGAGGAGGUAGUGGAGACAGAGGGAGGAGGUAGUAGAGACAGAGGGAGGAGGAGGUAGUAGUGGUUCCGAGGGAGGAGGUAGUAGUGGAGACAGAGGGAGGAGGUAGUAGUGGAGAUUAGGAAGAUGCCAGAAAAGAGGGAAGGGGGAGAUGGCAGAUUGAACGAGGGAGGAGGUUAGGGAAGAGAAGCCAUACCUCGAUAUUCCCUCCAUCCUUUUAAUAUUUAAUGAGGAGAGAUUUCAUCCAGUUGAGAGAGUAGAGAGGAAUGGGAUUUAUCAUCUAAAACAUGGAGGGGGGAGGCUCAGGAUGGGAAGCGGGGAAGUCAGAGGGGGCUUCCCCCCC